RNAcentral lists this ribosomal RNA (381 nucleotides) under uncultured bacterium. RNAcentral's name for it is "bacterial SSU rRNA". It matches the Rfam family "Bacterial small subunit ribosomal RNA", at positions 28 to 418 of the family's 1533-position model. The record is from RNAcentral.
GACGAACGCUGGCGGCGUGCUUAACACAUGCAAGUCACGGGGGUCCCGCAAGGGAUAACCGGCGAACGGGUGCGUAACACGUGAACAACCUGCCCUCGUGUGGGGGAUAGCCAUGCUAACGCGUGGGUAAUACCGCAUACGUUCUUCUGGGGGAGUCCCCGGGAGAGGAAAGCUCCGGCGCACGGGGAGGGGUUCGCGGCCUAUCAGCUAGCUGGUGAGGUAACGGCUCACCAGGGCGACGACGGGUAGCGGGGUCGAGAGGAUGAUCCGCCGGACGGGGACUGAGACACGGCCCCGACUCCUUCGGGAGGCAGCAAUGAGGAAUAUUGCGCAAUGGGCGAAAGCCUGACGCAGCGACGCCGCGUGGGUGAGGAAGUCCUC